GCGAAGAACCUUACCAGGCCUUGACAUCCCAAGGAAAGCCCCUUAACCGGGGCCCCUCUUCGGAGUCUUGGAGACAGGUGGUGCAUGGUUGUCGUCAGCUCGUGUCGUGAGAUGUUGGGUCAAGUCCCGCAACGAGCGCAACCCUUGUCCGUAGUAGCCAGCAGUAAGAUGGGAACUCUACGGAGACUGCCGGGGAUAACCCGGAGGAAGGUGGGGAUGACGUCAAAUCAUCAUGCCCCUUACGGUCUGGGCGACACACGUGCUACAAUGGCGUAACAAAGGGAAGCGAGCCCGCGAGGGGGAGCAAACCCCAAAAAUAGCGUCCCAGUUCGGACUGUAGUCUGCAACCCGACUACACGAAGCCGGAAUCGCUAGUAAUCGCGGAUCAGAAUGCCGCGGUGAAUACGUUCCCGGGUCUUGUACACACCGA
This 430-nucleotide ribosomal RNA is filed under the name uncultured rumen bacterium. RNAcentral describes it as "bacterial SSU rRNA". It matches the Rfam family "Bacterial small subunit ribosomal RNA", at positions 961 to 1393 of the family's 1533-position model. The record is from RNAcentral.